Molecule: long non-coding RNA, 2425 nt
Organism: Hipposideros armiger (great roundleaf bat)
Lineage: Eukaryota; Metazoa; Chordata; Mammalia; Chiroptera; Hipposideridae
Exons: 3
Source: RefSeq, a predicted model, not a curated record
UGCUGAGGUAUAAUAUGCAUACAAUAAAGUGCCUUAAGCACAGUAAUUGCAAGUGUACAGUUCAAUGACUUUUAUAUACGCAUAUGUAUGUGCACAUUCCUCUCAUAGCACCAGCUCCUUCUCAGCACUCAUAUGGUUAUUGUUACUUAUCUGAUUUGCAAAGAGAGAGGAUUUGAUAACACACCAUUAUGGAAGAAUCACAGGGAAAUAGAUACCGACUGCUGGCUGGGUGUACAAACCCUUACAACCCCUUUGGAGGGCAAUUUCACAGCAUCUAUUAAAUUUAAAAAUGCAUGUAUCCAUUGAGACAUCAAUUCCUCUUUCAGAAAUUGAUCCGACAGAUGCACUCUUACAUAUGUGUGAAGGCAACCAGCUGUCCCUCUACGAGGCUCUCAAUAAUCUUAGUGCAGAUCGUGGGUUUGGGAGCAAGCCAGAGAUGGAUUUGAGUCAUAACACAACCAUGUAGCAGCUUUGCAUCCCCGGGCACGUCAGAGGGCCGCUCUGUGCCUCGGUUUCCUUGUUGGGAAACUAGGAUCAGAAGUCCUGCCCAGGGCCUCCUCGUUUUCUCCCUGCUGUUUCCAUCACCAGUGGGCCCCACCUAAGCCACAUUCCUGAGCUGAAGGUCUGCGGACGUGGGACGUGGGGUUUUGCACUGCGUAAUCAGACAUCCAGGGCUCUCUGGGUCUCCACCCUGGCCCCUCUCAGGCUCCACUCCAGCUUGGCUGUGUCUGGGCUCAGGGAACUGCCUCGGGCUACCUGGUCUAUUUCCAGGAGAUGAGUGAUUUUCCUUUCCAAAAAACCGAGGAGUACAACAUUGACUGGAUAUUCUGGAAGAUUCAGCUAGAUUGCUUUUACAAAUGAAGACACUGAGGUGCUAAGGGGUGAUGCAAUGUGUCUGGAAUUUCACAGCCAAGAAGGAGGAGAAAGGCAUGGAGAUACCAAAUGUUUCCUUUGAUCAAAUGGAUCCAUGUUUGCAAACAUGGUGUUGGAUUUAGUGAACAUGCGUUCAUCUAAUUCCCCUGCCUCUGAGGCCAAACUGUGACAAAAACAGGCCCACACAAACCGGCUUGUCUCUCUGCUCUCAUCUGACUUUCCUCUGUCUACUCGUCACCUCCCACCCUCAUUCGUGCUCAUCCCUGUGGCCACGCGGACACCAUUAUGUUCUUUGAAUGUGCUGAGUUCUUUCCCAUCUCAAGGCCUUUGCUCCUGCUACUUCUUUUGCUGAGAGUGCUUCUCCCUGGCCCUUUGCAGGACCAACUUCUCACCCUUGAGCUCAUGCAUUCGCUUAAAUGUCACCUUUUGUCCUUCCUACUUCCACCCCUCUCCUGUGCAGGGUACCACAAUGCUUUUGUUUUGUUCCUUCCUAGAUCAUAUUGCAAUGUGUGAUUCUGUUGUUUAUUUGCUUUUUACUACUUCUCCCGGGCUCCUUCCUCCAGUGGAUUGCACAUGCCAACAGUUUGUCUCAUUCAUCUGUAUCCUCGGGGGCUGGGCCAACGCCUGGUACUCCAUUCAAUCAAUAUUUGUUGAACCAAUGAAUGAAUCCAGUGGCUACUCAAUAAUUAGUGGUUUGCGUUUCCUUGUCUCCUUUGAGCAGCCGUCACCAUUCACACACAUUCACACUGGCACACACAACCUGAAUAGGACAAUGGAAAUAACAGCUUGGUGCGUGUAUCUAGUAUGUAUCAGAAAAACUGGCUAAACCAGUUGGCUUAGCUACUGUUUUCUGUUCUGUUUUGUUUAACUUUAAUAAGUUCUUUGGCCUCUGAGCUUCUUCUGGCCUGGGUGUACAUAUUCACAGAGAAGGGGAGUUUACAGUAAUGAUGACAUAUUAAGGAAUAUUAACAUAAUGAGCACUUUCAUUCAAUAGGUCACUACCAAAAAGAUACCCAAUAGGUGAUGACAGCAAAAAUGAUUCUUGAAGAGCGUUCCGUGCCCUUUGAAAGGGAGUAGGAGCCAAUCAGGUAAACUUGUCCAAUCCUUUUUGUUUAGGGAGCCCUUUCUCAAUACCUGGUGCUCAGCAAAGUGGGGAGGGGAGCGUUCUCACGGCUCCCGUGUGCUGAACGAGGAAGCAGAUGCAGAAUUGUUAAUUCUCAGGAAGUGUGCUAAGCAACACUGGGAUUUGCCACCCUGAGUUGGAUUAUGAGAUGUCUUUUCAAUAACAGCCUCAUUCUACGGUCCUGACCCAGUCUGGCUGGAAGUUCGAGAGGUUAGUGGCUGCUUUUCAAAGGCUUUUGCUUCUUAAAAAUUACACGUGAGGCAGCCUAUUUCUUCCCCUUGGUGACAGCUGGGGAAUUUCAUGUUGAAAAGAACGGACAGUGGUUGAUAUUUAGGGAUAACUAGGCAAUUGCAUUAUAUUUGAAGAAAGAGAGCUGUUAGUUUUUCUUCCCCUCCUUCCCUCCCUCGAGCCCUCCCUUCUUCUCUCUUU